This 445-nucleotide ribosomal RNA is filed under the name uncultured bacterium. Its description in RNAcentral is "partial 16S ribosomal RNA". It matches the Rfam family "Bacterial small subunit ribosomal RNA", at positions 354 to 796 of the family's 1533-position model. The record is from RNAcentral.
GUGAGGAAUAUUGCGCAAUGGAGGCAACUCUGACGCAGCCAUGCCGCGUGCAGGAAGAAGGCGCUACGCGUUGUAAACUGCUUUUAACCGGGAAGAAACCCCAGGACGUGUCCUGGGUUGACGGUACCGGAGGAAUAAGCACCGGCUAACUUCGUGCCAGCAGCCGCGGUAAUACGAAGGGUGCAAGCGUUAUCCGGAUUCAUUGGGUUUAAAGGGUACGUAGGCGGAGCGUUAAGUCAGUGGUGAAAUCCUGCAGCUUAACUGUAGACUUGCCAUUGAUACUGGCGCUCUUGAGUGCGCUUGAAGUGGGCGGAAUGUGCCGUGUAGCGGUGAAAUGCUUAGAUAUGGCACAGAACACCAAUUGCGAAGGCAGCUCACUAAGGCGAUACUGACGCUGAGGCACGAAAGCGUGGGGAUCGAACAGGAUUAGAAACCCGUGUAGUCC